AUUGAACGCUGGCGGCAUGCCUUACACAUGCAAGUCGAACGGCAGCACGGGUGCUUGCACCUGGUGGCGAGUGGCGAACGGGUGAGUAAUACAUCGGAACGUACCUUAUCGUGGGGGAUAACGCAGCGAAAGCUGUGCUAAUACCGCAUACGCCCUGAGGGGGAAAGCGGGGGAUCGCAAGACCUCGCGCGAUUAGAGCGGCCGAUGCCUGAUCAGCUUGUUGGUGGGGUAAAAGCCCACCAAGGCGACGAUCAGUAGCUGGUCUGAGAGGACGAUCAGGCACACUGGGACUGAGACACGGCCCAGACUCCUACGGGAGGCAGCAGUGGGGAAUUUUGGACAAUGGGGGCAACCCUGAUCCAGCAAUGCCGCGUGAGUGAAGAAGGCCUUCGGGUUGUAAAGCUCUUUUGUCAGGGAAGAAACACCGGCUCUAACACAGUCUGGGAAUGACGGUACCUGAAGAAUAAGCACCGGCUAACUACGUGCCAGCCGCCGCAGUAA
RNAcentral lists this ribosomal RNA (501 nucleotides) under uncultured bacterium. RNAcentral describes it as "partial 16S ribosomal RNA". It matches the Rfam family "Bacterial small subunit ribosomal RNA", at positions 29 to 523 of the family's 1533-position model. The record is from RNAcentral.